UGAGCCCGUCGGCCCAACUCCUGAGAUCUUAUUGGGAAGCUGCUAAUCACCAGUUUCAGAUACAGACAGAGGAGAAGGAGAUGUGAAGACAGAGGCAGAGAUUGGAGUGAUGUGACCACAAGUCAAGGAAUGCUGGCAGCAGCUGGAAGAGAGCUAAAGCAAAAGCUGCCAGGCUUUCUAAAUGCUGGGUUCAGAAGUGGCACAGUAUCAUAUGGAUUGCAACUCACAAGGGUAGGGGAAGUGAGCUCCAGUCUUGGCGG
RNAcentral lists this long non-coding RNA (260 nucleotides) under Callithrix jacchus (white-tufted-ear marmoset). RNAcentral's name for it is "lncRNA (ENSCJAG00000083983.1)". Lineage: Eukaryota; Metazoa; Chordata; Mammalia; Primates; Cebidae. The record is from RNAcentral.